RNAcentral lists this transfer RNA (86 nucleotides) under Chloroflexota bacterium. RNAcentral's name for it is "tRNA-Leu". It matches the Rfam family "tRNA". From Rfam's summary of the family: Transfer RNA (tRNA) molecules are approximately 80 nucleotides in length. Their secondary structure includes four short double-helical elements and three loops (D, anti-codon, and T loops). Further hydrogen bonds mediate the characteristic L-shaped molecular structure. tRNAs have two regions of fundamental functional importance: the anti-codon, which is responsible for specific mRNA codon recognition, and the 3' end, to which the tRNAs corresponding amino acid is attached (by aminoacyl-tRNA synthetases). tRNAs cope with the degeneracy of the genetic code in two manners: having more than one tRNA (with a specific anti-codon) for a particular amino acid; and 'wobble' base-pairing, i.e. permitting non-standard base-pairing at the 3rd anti-codon position. RNAcentral also lists the same sequence under 2 other names. Lineage: Bacteria; Bacillati; Chloroflexota. The record is from RNAcentral.
GCCGAAGUGGCGGAAUGGCAGACGCGAAGGUCUCAAACACCUUUGGGAUUAAACCCGUGUGGGUUCGACUCCCACCUUCGGCACCA